GAACUUAGCAGAGAUGCUUUGGUGCCUUCGGGAACUCUGAGACAGGUGCUGCAUGGCUGUCGUCAGCUCGUGUUGUGAAAUGUUGGGUUAAGUCCCACAACGAGCGCAACCCUUAUCCUUUGUUGCCAGCGGUCCGGCCGGGAACUCAAAGGAGACUGCCAGUGAUAAACUGGAGGAAGGUGGGGAUGACGUCAAGUCAUCAUGGCCCUUACGAGUAGGGCUACACACGUGCUACAAUGGCGCAUACAAAGAGAAGCGACCUCGCGAGAGCAAGCGGACCUCAUAAAGUGCGUCGUAGUCCGGAUUGGAGUCUGCAACUCGACUCCAUGAAGUCGGAAUCGCUAGUAAUCGUGGAUCAGAAUGCCACGGUGAAUACGUUCCCGGGCCUUGUACACACCGCCCGUCACACCAUGGGAGUGGGUUGCAAAAGAAGUAGGUAGCUUAACCUUCGGGAGGGCGCUUACCACUUUGUGAUUCAUGACUGGGGUGAAGUCGUAACAAGGUAGGCGUAGUGCU
Molecule: ribosomal RNA, 516 nt
Filed under: uncultured bacterium
Lineage: Bacteria
Description: bacterial SSU rRNA
Rfam family: Bacterial small subunit ribosomal RNA
Source: RNAcentral